UACGGGGGGGGCAAGCGUUGUUCGGAAUUACUGGGCGUAAAGGGCUCGUAGGCGGCCAACUAAGUCAGACGUGAAAUCCCCAGGCUUAACCUGGGAACUGCGUCUGAUACUGGAUGGCUUGAAUUCGGGAGAGGGAUGCAGAAUUCCAGGUGUAGCGGUGAAAUGCGUAGAUAUCAGGAGGAACACCGGUGGCGAAGGCGGAUCUCUGGGCCUUACCUGACGCUGAGGCGCGAAAGCUAGGGGAGCAAACAGG
RNAcentral lists this ribosomal RNA (253 nucleotides) under uncultured bacterium. RNAcentral describes it as "partial 16S ribosomal RNA". It matches the Rfam family "Bacterial small subunit ribosomal RNA", at positions 524 to 776 of the family's 1533-position model. The record is from RNAcentral.